CUCCAGCCCGGACACCCAGGACGUAGCGAUGUGGAAGAACUGCGUGACUGGAUUGGGAG
Molecule: microRNA precursor, 59 nt
Filed under: Ictalurus punctatus (channel catfish)
Lineage: Eukaryota; Metazoa; Chordata; Actinopteri; Siluriformes; Ictaluridae
Description: microRNA ipu-mir-7555 precursor
Source: miRBase by way of RNAcentral